This 77-nucleotide transfer RNA is filed under the name Foenatopus ruficollis. RNAcentral describes it as "tRNA-Met". Lineage: Eukaryota; Metazoa; Arthropoda; Insecta; Hymenoptera; Stephanidae. The record is from RNAcentral.
GAACCUAAAAGCUUAAUUAGCUGAUUUUUAAUUCACAUAAAAUUAAUAUAAUAAUUAAAUUUAAUUAAUUAUAUAAA